Non-coding RNA from Camelina sativa (false flax), 649 nucleotides. Lineage: Eukaryota; Viridiplantae; Streptophyta; Magnoliopsida; Brassicales; Brassicaceae. The record is from RefSeq and is a predicted model, not a curated record.
AGAUGCAUACUAAGUGUACUGCUGAAGAUCUUAAAGCAGUAUCAUAUCCGAGUAAUAUGAAGGUUUUAUCGAAUAUUCUUUGCUGUUGUAUUAUUUACACAGAUUAGUCUCACUUCCUCUCUAACCUUCUGUCAUAAUACAAAAUCUUGCCAUCCCAAUUAGUUUCAUUCUUGCAACUAGAAAUGCUUUGCCAUGCUCUAAUCUAACUCCUUUCUACUUGUUUAUAUGGAUAACUCAUAUGGGUAAAAAAAGCUACUACGACACUUUCUUGAAGAGAUACCAGGACCGUGCGAAGGAGAAGGACUGGAGAUAUCCACUUAUGGUUGCAUUGUCAUACUCACCUCAAAUUCUUGAGGAUGGAAGUGUUCCUGUAACACCAAAUGACGUUCUGAUCGAUGCCCUUGUGACACCUUCUGGUGUGGUUCCCAUUACCCCUCGGGCUAUUGAAAUAAUGUGAGAUCAGGAGCUUGUGUUUGGAGCUGACACUCGGGAUUUGUUGGUAUGCGCUUGAAGGCAGCAUUCUGGAAUAAUCAAACUCAGUAUCAGCUUCUGUAAUUGCCACUAAAAGAUUUUACUAAAUUUGAUGUGUGCCUUGUUUGUAUGAUGAGAUAUGCAGUUCAAUCCAAUGGUCUUCCACCCGUUUAUUCUA